AGACAGCCAGGAUGUUGGCUUAGAAGCAGCCAUCAUUUAAAGAAAGCGUAAUAGCUCACUGGUCGAGUCGGCCUGCGCGGAAGAUGUAACGGGGCUAAACCAUGCACCGAAGCUGCGGCAGCGACGCUGAUGCGUUGUUGGGUAGGGGAGCGUUCUGUAAGCCUGCGAAGGUGGCCUGUGAGGGUUGCUGGAGGUAUCAGAAGUGCGAAUGCUGACAUAAGUAACGAUAAAGCGGGUGAAAAGCCCGCUCGCCGGAAGACCAAGGGUUCCUGUCCAACGUUAAUCGGGGCAGGGUGAGUCGACCCCUAAGGCGAGGCCGAAAGGCGUAGUCGAUGGGAAACGGGUUAAUAUUCCCGUACUUGGUGUUACUGCGAAGGGGGGACGGAGAAGGCUAUGUUGGCCGGGCGACGGUUGUCCCGGUUUAAGCGUGUAGGUGUGUGUUCCAGGUAAAUCCGGUUCACUUUAACACUGAGGCGUGAUGACGAGGCACUACGGUGCUGAAGCAACAAAUGCCCUGCUUCCAGGAAAAGCCUCUAAGCAUCAGGUAACAUCAAAUCGUACCCCAAACCGACACAGGUGGUCAGGUAGAGAAUACCAAGGCGCUUGAGAGAACUCGGGUGAAGGAACUAGGCAAAAUGGUGCCGUAACUUCGGGAGAAGGCACGCUGACACGUAGGUGAAGUGAUUUACUCAUGGAGCUGAAGUCAGUCGAAGAUACCAGCUGGCUGCAACUGUUUAUUAAAAACACAGCACUGUGCAAACACGAAAGUGGACGUAUACGGUGUGACGCCUGCCCGGUGCCGGAAGGUUAAUUGAUGGGGUCAGCGCAAGCGAAGCUCCUGAUCGAAGCCCCGGUAAACGGCGGCCGUAACUAUAACGGUCCUAAGGUAGCGAAAUUCCUUGUCGGGUAAGUUCCGACCUGCACGAAUGGCGUAAUGAUGGCCAGGCUGUCUCCACCCGAGACUCAGUGAAAUUGAACUCGCUGUGAAGAUGCAGUGUACCCGCGGCAAGACGGAAAGACCCCGUGAACCUUUACUAUAGCUUGACACUGAACAUUGAGCCUUGAUGUGUAGGAUAGGUGGGAGGCUUUGAAGUGUGGACGCCAGUCUGCAUGGAGCCGACCUUGAAAUACCACCCUUUAAUGUUUGAUGUUCUAACGUGGACCCGUGAUCCGGGUUGCGGACAGUGUCUGGUGGGUAGUUUGACUGGGGCGGUCUCCUCCUAAAGAGUAACGGAGGAGCACGAAGGUUGGCUAAUCCUGGUCGGACAUCAGGAGGUUAGUGCAAUGGCAUAAGCCAGCUUGACUGCGAGCGUGACGGCGCGAGCAGGUGCGAAAGCAGGUCAUAGUGAUCCGGUGGUUCUGAAUGGAAGGGCCAUCGCUCAACGGAUAAAAGGUACUCCGGGGAUAACAGGCUGAUACCGCCCAAGAGUUCAUAUCGACGGCGGUGUUUGGCACCUCGAUGUCGGCUCAUCACAUCCUGGGGCUGAAGUAGGUCCCAAGGGUAUGGCUGUUCGCCAUUUAAAGUGGUACGCGAGCUGGGUUUAGAACGUCGUGAGACAGUUCGGUCCCUAUCUGCCGUGGGCGCUGGAGAACUGAGGGGGGCUGCUCCUAGUACGAGAGGACCGGAGUGGACGCAUCACUGGUGUUCGGGUUGUCAUGCCAAUGGCACUGCCCGGUAGCUAAAUGCGGAAGAGAUAAGUGCUGAAAGCAUCUAAGCACGAAACUUGCCCCGAGAUGAGUUCUCCCUGAGACUUUAGGUCUCCUGAAGGAACGUUGAAGACGACGACGUUGAUAGGCCGGGUGUGUAAGCGCAGCGAUGCGUUGAGCUAACCGGUACUAAUGAACCGUGAGGCUUAACCUUACA
RNAcentral lists this ribosomal RNA (1864 nucleotides) under Salmonella enterica. RNAcentral describes it as "partial 23S ribosomal RNA". It matches the Rfam family "Bacterial large subunit ribosomal RNA", at positions 1087 to 2925 of the family's 2925-position model. The record is from RNAcentral. Lineage: Bacteria; Pseudomonadati; Pseudomonadota; Gammaproteobacteria; Enterobacterales; Enterobacteriaceae.